Molecule: ribosomal RNA, 293 nt
Filed under: uncultured bacterium
Lineage: Bacteria
Description: partial 16S ribosomal RNA
Rfam family: Bacterial small subunit ribosomal RNA
Source: RNAcentral
GGAUUAGAUACCCUGGUAGUCCACGCCGUAAACGAUGUCUACUAGUUGUCUGUGGGUUUAACCCGUGGGUAACGCAGCUAACGCAUUAAGUAGACCGCCUGGGGAGUACGGCCGCAAGGUUAAAACUCAAAUGAAUUGACGGGGGCCCGCACAAGCGGUGGAGCAUGUGGUUUAAUUCGAUGCAACGCGAAGAACCUUACCUGCCCUUGACAUACUGAGAACUUACCAGAGAUGGUUUGGUGCCUUCGGGAGCUCAGAUACAGGUGCUGCAUGGCUGUCGUCAGCUCGUGCUG